RNAcentral lists this unclassified non-coding RNA (747 nucleotides) under Hevea brasiliensis (rubber tree). The record is from RNAcentral. Lineage: Eukaryota; Viridiplantae; Streptophyta; Magnoliopsida; Malpighiales; Euphorbiaceae.
GCUACUGAGAUGAACAUUGGGAGAACCAAUCUCCACGCGGCGAAUUAACUCGAAUCGCUCAUCAUCUCCGACGAGAAAAGGAAAUAUGUUUCUCAAAGUACAGUUGCCUUGGAAUGUUAUAAUCCCUGCUGAGAACUUGGAUGCUAAAGGACUGAUGCUCCAAAGGUCAAUUGUUGUCCGCUUGUUAGAAGAUUUUGCUAGUAAAAAAGCUACCAAAGAUUUGGGUUAUUACCUUGCUGUCACCACUUUGGAGAACAUAGGGGAGGGAAAAGUGAGGCAGCACACUGGGGAUGUGCUAUUUCCAGUUGUAUUCAGUGGCAUCACUUUCAAGAUUUUCAGGGGUGAGAUUCUGGAAGGGGUUGUUCACAAAGUGCUCAAGCAUGGUGUUUUCAUGAGAUGUGGGCCAAUUGAGCAUAUAUAUCUCUCUUAUAUGAAAAUGCCAGAUUACCGUUAUGUGCCUGGAGAGAAUCCAGUCUUUCUGAACGACAAGAUGUCAAAGAUUGAAAAGGAUGCAGUGGUGAGAUUCAUCGUUAUUGGAACAAAGUGGUUAGAGGCGGAAAGGGAGUUUCAGGCAUUGGUCAGCUUGGAGGGUGAUUAUCUUGGACCAGUGUCCUAGAUGCCUGCCUUCUAUUUUGCUGGAUAUGCAUGUAAAUCUUUUUAAUAUGUUGGAUUAAACUUAGCCUACCGGAAGCAUGAUAGUUUCUUUUGGAGCAAUAGAUAUUCCUGGAGGCCUUAGCUCCUAGUCAU